UGUCACGGCCAUACCACCCUGAAUGUGCCCAUCUCGUCUGAUCUCAGAAGCUAAGCAGGGUCGGGCCUGGUUAGUACUUGGAUGGGAGAAAACUAUACUGUAUGGUUGUGAUGG
RNAcentral lists this ribosomal RNA (114 nucleotides) under Neogale vison (American mink). Lineage: Eukaryota; Metazoa; Chordata; Mammalia; Carnivora; Mustelidae. The record is from RNAcentral.